This 496-nucleotide ribosomal RNA is filed under the name uncultured bacterium. Its description in RNAcentral is "partial 16S ribosomal RNA". It matches the Rfam family "Bacterial small subunit ribosomal RNA", at positions 29 to 507 of the family's 1533-position model. The record is from RNAcentral.
AUGAACGCUGGCGGCGUGCCUAAUACAUGCAAGUCAAGCGAACAGACGAGGAGCUUGCUCCUCUGACGUUAGCGGCGGACGGGUGAGUAACACGUGGAUAACCUACCUAUAAGACUGGGAUAACUUCGGGAAACCGGAGCUAAUACCGGAUAAUAUAUUGAACCGCAUGGUUCAAUAGUGAAAGACGGUUUUGCUGUCACUUAUAGAUGGAUCCGCGCCGCAUUAGCUAGUUGGUAAGGUAACGGCUUACCAAGGCGACGAUGCGUAGCCGACCUGAGAGGGUGAUCGGCCACACUGGAACUGAGACACGGUCCAGACUCCUACGGGAGGCAGCAGUAGGGAAUCUUCCGCAAUGGGCGAAAGCCUGACGGAGCAACGCCGCGUGAGUGAUGAAGGUCUUCGGAUCGUAAAACUCUGUUAUUAGGGAAGAACAAAUGUGUAAGUAACUAUGCACGUCUUGACGGUACCUAAUCAGAAAGCCACGGCUAACUACGUG